UACGUAGGGUGCAAGCGUUAUCCGGAAUUAUUGGGCGUAAAGAGCUCGUAGGCGGUUUGUCGCGUCUGCUGUGAAAACUGGGGGCUCAACCCCCAGCCUGCAGUGGGUACGGGCAGACUAGAGUGCGGUAGGGGAGAUUGGAAUUCCUGGUGUAGCGGUGAAAUGCGCAGAUAUCAGGAGGAACACCGGUGGCGAAGGCGGGUCUCUGGGCAGUAACUGACGCUGAGGAGCGAAAGCGUGGGGAGCGAACAGG
RNAcentral lists this ribosomal RNA (253 nucleotides) under uncultured bacterium. Its description in RNAcentral is "partial 16S ribosomal RNA". It matches the Rfam family "Bacterial small subunit ribosomal RNA", at positions 524 to 776 of the family's 1533-position model. The record is from RNAcentral.